Molecule: ribosomal RNA, 2921 nt
Filed under: Staphylococcus aureus
Lineage: Bacteria; Bacillati; Bacillota; Bacilli; Caryophanales; Staphylococcaceae
Description: bacterial LSU rRNA
Rfam family: Bacterial large subunit ribosomal RNA
Source: RNAcentral
UUAAGUUAUUAAGGGCGCACGGUGGAUGCCUUGGCACUAGAAGCCGAUGAAGGACGUUACUAACGACGAUAUGCUUUGGGGAGCUGUAAGUAAGCUUUGAUCCAGAGAUUUCCGAAUGGGGAAACCCAGCAUGAGUUAUGUCAUGUUAUCGAUAUGUGAAUACAUAGCAUAUCAGAAGGCACACCCGGAGAACUGAAACAUCUUAGUACCCGGAGGAAGAGAAAGAAAAUUCGAUUCCCUUAGUAGCGGCGAGCGAAACGGGAAGAGCCCAAACCAACAAGCUUGCUUGUUGGGGUUGUAGGACACUCUAUACGGAGUUACAAAGGACGACAUUAGACGAAUCAUCUGGAAAGAUGAAUCAAAGAAGGUAAUAAUCCUGUAGUCGAAAAUGUUGUCUCUCUUGAGUGGAUCCUGAGUACGACGGAGCACGUGAAAUUCCGUCGGAAUCUGGGAGGACCAUCUCCUAAGGCUAAAUACUCUCUAGUGACCGAUAGUGAACCAGUACCGUGAGGGAAAGGUGAAAAGCACCCCGGAAGGGGAGUGAAAUAGAACCUGAAACCGUGUGCUUACAAGUAGUCAGAGCCCGUUAAUGGGUGAUGGCGUGCCUUUUGUAGAAUGAACCGGCGAGUUACGAUUUGAUGCAAGGUUAAGCAGUAAAUGUGGAGCCGUAGCGAAAGCGAGUCUGAAUAGGGCGUUUAGUAUUUGGUCGUAGACCCGAAACCAGGUGAUCUACCCUUGGUCAGGUUGAAGUUCAGGUAACACUGAAUGGAGGACCGAACCGACUUACGUUGAAAAGUGAGCGGAUGAACUGAGGGUAGCGGAGAAAUUCCAAUCGAACCUGGAGAUAGCUGGUUCUCUCCGAAAUAGCUUUAGGGCUAGCCUCAAGUGAUGAUUAUUGGAGGUAGAGCACUGUUUGGACGAGGGGCCCCUCUCGGGUUACCGAAUUCAGACAAACUCCGAAUGCCAAUUAAUUUAACUUGGGAGUCAGAACAUGGGUGAUAAGGUCCGUGUUCGAAAGGGAAACAGCCCAGACCACCAGCUAAGGUCCCAAAAUAUAUGUUAAGUGGAAAAGGAUGUGGCGUUGCCCAGACAACUAGGAUGUUGGCUUAGAAGCAGCCAUCAUUUAAAGAGUGCGUAAUAGCUCACUAGUCGAGUGACACUGCGCCGAAAAUGUACCGGGGCUAAACAUAUUACCGAAGCUGUGGAUUGUCCUUUGGACAAUGGUAGGAGAGCGUUCUAAGGGCGUUGAAGCAUGAUCGUAAGGACAUGUGGAGCGCUUAGAAGUGAGAAUGCCGGUGUGAGUAGCGAAAGACGGGUGAGAAUCCCGUCCACCGAUUGACUAAGGUUUCCAGAGGAAGGCUCGUCCGCUCUGGGUUAGUCGGGUCCUAAGCUGAGGCCGACAGGCGUAGGCGAUGGAUAACAGGUUGAUAUUCCUGUACCACCUAUAAUCGUUUUAAUCGAUGGGGGGACGCAGUAGGAUAGGCGAAGCGUGCGAUUGGAUUGCACGUCUAAGCAGUAAGGCUGAGUAUUAGGCAAAUCCGGUACUCGUUAAGGCUGAGCUGUGAUGGGGAGAAGACAUUGUGUCUUCGAGUCGUUGAUUUCACACUGCCGAGAAAAGCCUCUAGAUAGAAAAUAGGUGCCCGUACCGCAAACCGACACAGGUAGUCAAGAUGAGAAUUCUAAGGUGAGCGAGCGAACUCUCGUUAAGGAACUCGGCAAAAUGACCCCGUAACUUCGGGAGAAGGGGUGCUCUUUAGGGUUAACGCCCAGAAGAGCCGCAGUGAAUAGGCCCAAGCGACUGUUUAUCAAAAACACAGGUCUCUGCUAAACCGUAAGGUGAUGUAUAGGGGCUGACGCCUGCCCGGUGCUGGAAGGUUAAGAGGAGUGGUUAGCUUCUGCGAAGCUACGAAUCGAAGCCCCAGUAAACGGCGGCCGUAACUAUAACGGUCCUAAGGUAGCGAAAUUCCUUGUCGGGUAAGUUCCGACCCGCACGAAAGGCGUAACGAUUUGGGCACUGUCUCAACGAGAGACUCGGUGAAAUCAUAGUACCUGUGAAGAUGCAGGUUACCCGCGACAGGACGGAAAGACCCCGUGGAGCUUUACUGUAGCCUGAUAUUGAAAUUCGGCACAGCUUGUACAGGAUAGGUAGGAGCCUUUGAAACGUGAGCGCUAGCUUACGUGGAGGCGCUGGUGGGAUACUACCCUAGCUGUGUUGGCUUUCUAACCCGCACCACUUAUCGUGGUGGGAGACAGUGUCAGGCGGGCAGUUUGACUGGGGCGGUCGCCUCCUAAAAGGUAACGGAGGCGCUCAAAGGUUCCCUCAGAAUGGUUGGAAAUCAUUCAUAGAGUGUAAAGGCAUAAGGGAGCUUGACUGCGAGACCUACAAGUCGAGCAGGGUCGAAAGACGGACUUAGUGAUCCGGUGGUUCCGCAUGGAAGGGCCAUCGCUCAACGGAUAAAAGCUACCCCGGGGAUAACAGGCUUAUCUCCCCCAAGAGUUCACAUCGACGGGGAGGUUUGGCACCUCGAUGUCGGCUCAUCGCAUCCUGGGGCUGUAGUCGGUCCCAAGGGUUGGGCUGUUCGCCCAUUAAAGCGGUACGCGAGCUGGGUUCAGAACGUCGUGAGACAGUUCGGUCCCUAUCCGUCGUGGGCGUAGGAAAUUUGAGAGGAGCUGUCCUUAGUACGAGAGGACCGGGAUGGACAUACCUCUGGUGUACCAGUUGUCGUGCCAACGGCAUAGCUGGGUAGCUAUGUGUGGACGGGAUAAGUGCUGAAAGCAUCUAAGCAUGAAGCCCCCCUCAAGAUGAGAUUUCCCAACUUCGGUUAUAAGAUCCCUCAAAGAUGAUGAGGUUAAUAGGUUCGAGGUGGAAGCAUGGCGAUAUGUGGAGCUGACGAAUACUAAUCGAUCGAAGACUUAAUCAA